CCUACGGGUGGCAGCAGUGAGGAAGAUUGGUCAAUGGCCGUAAGGCUGAACCAGCCAAGUCGCGUGAAGGAAGAAGGAUCGAUGGUUUGUAAACUUCUUUUAUAGGGGAAUAAAGGUAGACAAGUGUGGAUAUUUGCAUGGACCCUAUGAAUAAGCAUCGGCUAACGCCGUGCCAGCAGCCGCGGUAAUACGGAGGAGGCGAGCGUUAUCCGGAUUUAUUUGGUUUAAAGGGUGCGUAGGUUUUUUUUUAAGUCAGCGGUGAACGUUUGGGGCUCAACCCUAACAUUGCCGUUGAAACUGGAAGUCUUGAGUGUGUUUGAGGUAGGCGGAUUGCGUUGUGUAGCGGUGA
RNAcentral lists this ribosomal RNA (349 nucleotides) under uncultured bacterium. RNAcentral's name for it is "partial 16S ribosomal RNA". It matches the Rfam family "Bacterial small subunit ribosomal RNA", at positions 338 to 684 of the family's 1533-position model. The record is from RNAcentral.